UAAUUUAUUGAAAAAAACUUU
RNAcentral lists this non-coding RNA (21 nucleotides) under Caenorhabditis elegans. Lineage: Eukaryota; Metazoa; Nematoda; Chromadorea; Rhabditida; Rhabditidae. The record is from RNAcentral.